RNAcentral lists this ribosomal RNA (1953 nucleotides) under oral metagenome. RNAcentral's name for it is "bacterial LSU rRNA". It matches the Rfam family "Bacterial large subunit ribosomal RNA", at positions 1 to 1999 of the family's 2925-position model. The record is from RNAcentral.
UGUAGGGGUCAGCAGUUCAAAUCUGCUCGGGACUACUAGGACGUGAUAAGCUGCGAAAAGGUUUGGGGAGAAGCAAAUAUUUUAUGAUCCAGACAUAUCCGAAUGGGGAAACCUGAUAUACUGAAGGUAUAUCGUCGAAAGACGCAAACGCGCUGAACUGAAACAUCUAAGUAGGCGUAGGAAGAGAAAACAAUAGUGAUUUCCGUAGUAGCGGCGAGCGAAGUGGAAAUAGCCCAAACCAAAUUUGUUUCGGCAAGUUUGGGGUUGUAGGACUGAGGACGUUAAAUAAAUUUUUAGUGGAACAAAUUGGAAAGUUUGGCUGUAAAGGGUGAUAGCCCCGUACAUGAAAAGAAUUUAUUUGGCAUCAGUAUCCUGAGUAGGGCGGGACAUGUGAAAUCCUGUCUGAAUCUGCCAGAACCAUCUGGUAAGGCUAAAUACUCUUGAGAGACCGAUAGCGAACGAGUACCGUGAGGGAAAGGUGAAAAGAACCCUGAAUAAGGGAGUGAAAAAGAUCCUGAAACCGUGUGUCUACAAGCGGUCGAAGCCUACGGGCGACGGCGUGCCUUUUGCAUAAUGAUCCUACGAGUUACUCCUCAAUGGCAAGGUUAAGAAUUUAAGGUUCGAAGCCGAAGCGAAAGCGAGUCUGAAUAGGGCGAACUAGUCAUUGGGGGUAGACGCGAAACCUUGUGAUCUACCCAUGGUCAGGUUGAAGUUCCGGUAACACGGAAUGGAGGACCGAACUGAUAUACGUUGAAAAGUAUUCAGAUGAACUGUGGGUAGGGGUGAAAGGCCAAUCAAACUGGGAAAUAGCUCGUACUCCCCGAAAUGCAUUUAGGUGCAGCGUCGAGGUUGAGUUUUAUAGAGGUAGAGCUACUGAUAGGGCUAGGGGGCUUCACCGCCUACCAACCCCUGACAAACUCCGAAUGCUAUAAAAUAUACUCGGCAGUGAGGGCAUGGGUGCUAAGGUCCAUGUCCGAGAGGGAAAGAACCCAGACCAUCGGCUAAGGUCCCCAAAUAUAUGUUAAGUUGAUCAAACGUUGUGCGAUUGCAUAGACAGCUAGGAUGUUGGCUUGGAAGCAGCCAUUCAUUUAAAGAGUGCGUAACAGCUCACUAGUCGAGCGAUCGUGCGUGGAUAAUAAUCGGGCAUUAAACAUAUUACCGAAGCUGUGGAUUUUAGAUUUAUCUAAUCUGGUAGGGGAGCAUUCUAUGUGCGUUGAAUGUGAGACGUGAGUCUUGCUGGAGCGUAUAGAAAAGCAAAUGUAGGAAUAAGUAACGAUAAAGCAGGCGAGAAACCUGCUCACCGAUAGACUAAGGUUUCCUGAGCGACGCUAAUCGUCUCAGGGUUAGUCGGGACCUAACGCGAACCCGAAGGGGGUAGUGGAUGGACAAUGGGUUAAUAUUCCCAUACUUGUUGUAACUGCGAUGGGGUGACGGAGUAAUGAACAGACCGCGUACUGACGGAAUAGUACGUUGAAGGGUGUAGAUAUUGGAACUGUAGGCAAAUCCGCAGAUCUAGUCGAACCUGAUAGUACCACAAAGCUUCGGCCGCGUGGAUAGUGUCUCUAAGCGCUUCCAAGAAAAACCUCUAAGCUUCAGGUUACAACAACUCGUACCGCAAACCGACACAGGUAGUCAAGGAGAGAAUCCUAAGGUGCUCGAGUGAUUCAUGGCUAAGGAACUAGGCAAAAUGGUCUCGUAACUUCGGGAGAAGAGACGCCAACUUCGGUUGGCCGCAGUGAAUAGGCCCAGGCGACUGUUUAUCAAAAACACAUGGCUUUGCAAAAUCGAAAGAUGACGUAUAAGGCCUGACACCUGCCCGGUGCUGGAAGGUUAAGAGGAGAUGUUAGAUUCGUCGAAGCAUUGAAUUGAAGCCCCAGUAAACGGCGGCCGUAACUAUAACGGUCCUAAGGUAGCGAAAUUCCUUGUCGGGUAAGUUCCGACCUGCACGAAUGG